UACGUAGGGUGCAAGCGUUAAUCGGAAUUACUGGGCGUAAAGCGUGCGCAGGCGGUUUUGUAAGUCUGUCGUGAAAUCCCCGGGCUCAACCUGGGAAUUGCGAUGGAGACUGCAAGGCUAGAAUCUGGCAGAGGGGGGUAGAAUUCCACGUGUAGCAGUGAAAUGCGUAGAGAUGUGGAGGAACACCGAUGGCGAAGGCAG
This 201-nucleotide ribosomal RNA is filed under the name uncultured bacterium. RNAcentral's name for it is "partial 16S ribosomal RNA". It matches the Rfam family "Bacterial small subunit ribosomal RNA", at positions 524 to 724 of the family's 1533-position model. The record is from RNAcentral.